GAUCAGUGGCUCAGGACGAACGCUGGCGGCGUGCUUCACACGUGCAAGUCGAACGGAAAGGCUCCUUCGGGAGUACUCGAGUGGCGAACGGGUGAGUAACACGUGGGUAACCUGCCCCCCAUCUCUGGGAUAACUGCUGGAAACGGUGGCUAAUACCGGAUAGGACCAGGCAUUGCAUGAUGUUUGGUGGAAAGCUUUUGCGGUUGGGGAGGGGCUCGCGGCCUAUCAGCUGGUUGGUGGGGUGAUGGCCUACCAAGGCGGUGACGGGUAGCCGGCCUGAGAGGGCGGUCGGUCACAUUGGGACUGAGAUACGGCCCAGACUCCUACGGGAGGCAGCAGUGGGGAAUCUUGCACAAUGGGCGGAAGCCUGAUGCCAGCGACGCCGCGUGAGGGAUGACGGUCGUUUCGGGUUAGUAAACCUUCUUUUAUCCAUGACGAAGGUCGGCUUUUUGGUCGGUUGACGGUAGUGGUUGAAUAAGCGCCGGCUAACUACGUGCCAGCCGCGGC
RNAcentral lists this ribosomal RNA (507 nucleotides) under uncultured bacterium. Its description in RNAcentral is "bacterial SSU rRNA". It matches the Rfam family "Bacterial small subunit ribosomal RNA", at positions 15 to 518 of the family's 1533-position model. The record is from RNAcentral.